GCCGGAGUGGCGGAAUUGGCAGACGCCCAAGAUUUAAAAUCUUGUGGCCCGAUAGGGCCGUGCCGGUUCAAAUCCGGCCUCCGGCACCA
This 89-nucleotide transfer RNA is filed under the name Candidatus Omnitrophota bacterium. RNAcentral's name for it is "tRNA-Leu". It matches the Rfam family "tRNA". Rfam says of the family: Transfer RNA (tRNA) molecules are approximately 80 nucleotides in length. Their secondary structure includes four short double-helical elements and three loops (D, anti-codon, and T loops). Further hydrogen bonds mediate the characteristic L-shaped molecular structure. tRNAs have two regions of fundamental functional importance: the anti-codon, which is responsible for specific mRNA codon recognition, and the 3' end, to which the tRNAs corresponding amino acid is attached (by aminoacyl-tRNA synthetases). tRNAs cope with the degeneracy of the genetic code in two manners: having more than one tRNA (with a specific anti-codon) for a particular amino acid; and 'wobble' base-pairing, i.e. permitting non-standard base-pairing at the 3rd anti-codon position. RNAcentral also lists the same sequence under 1 other name. The record is from RNAcentral. Lineage: Bacteria; Pseudomonadati; Candidatus Omnitrophota.